GUGUUUGUUAUUUCAACUUGAAUUAAUCAAGUUUACUUUACAUAUAAAUUCUUAAUGUUAAUGGGGUGUAUAAAACAUAGAUACAGAACAAAUUGCUCUGUUUGCAUCUACAAAUGUGCACAGGUAAAUAAAGAUUUUGGAGUGCACAGUACAACCAAUUUGAUUGUCAGCACAUCCUUAUAGAAUCAAUAAUGAUCCUUCCACAGGUUCACCUACAGAAA
RNAcentral lists this unclassified non-coding RNA (221 nucleotides) under uncultured fungus. RNAcentral describes it as "sequence contains ITS1". Lineage: Eukaryota; Fungi. The record is from RNAcentral.